RNAcentral lists this ribosomal RNA (301 nucleotides) under uncultured bacterium. Its description in RNAcentral is "partial 16S ribosomal RNA". It matches the Rfam family "Bacterial small subunit ribosomal RNA", at positions 509 to 807 of the family's 1533-position model. The record is from RNAcentral.
CAGUCGCCACGGUAAUACGGAGGAUCCAAGCGUUAUCCGGAUUUAUUGGGUUUAAAGGGUGCGUAGGUGGCCUGUUAAGUCAGGGGUGAAAGACGGUAGCUUAACUAUCGCAGUGCCCUUGAUACUGAUGGGCUUGAAUGAACUAGAGGUAGGCGGAAUGUGACAAGUAGCGGUGAAAUGCAUAGAUAUGUCACAGAACACCAAUUGCGAAGGCAGCUUACUAUGGUUUUAUUGACACUGAGGCACGAAAGCGUGGGGAUCAAACAGGAUUAGAUACCCCGGUAGUCCCUGUCUCUUAUAC